UCUCCCUCUCCCCCUCUCUCUCCCUCUCCCUCUCUUUCGCUUGAAUUUGUCCUACAUUUCGUAAUGUUACGUGCCUGCCAUCCUUAUCCUAUGCCAGAGGUACAACACCAGUCUCACCCCCAUUCCGGCGUGGAGUUCUCUGAGUUCGGUGGCACUUGGGAUAUUCCACUUCAGUGCCAUGGGAAGAAAAUGGUAAGCAAAAAGCAAAAGGAAUAAUGCAAAAAAAAAAAAAAAAUUAUAAUGUUGUGGUAUCCAAUUGCUCCUGCUUCAGCCUUUUAUCCAAAGCCUUGAGAUGGAUCUGCCUCAUCCAGGAAGUUUUCCUGCUUCGUUAGAGUAUCUUCGUUUUCUUUAUCAGACGCUGGCUGGCACUCCACGCCAGUGCACGGCUCCAUGGAAUGCCUGCUGUUGGACACUUGCAGAGCUCUGCCACCAAGCAACCUCCUGCAUUGGAAAUCGGGGGACUACUCCAGGAUCUUAUGCGUGCUUGCUGUUUGAAGCUGCAGAAAAGUGAAUAAUCAAUUAAGUAUUGAUUUCUUGUAAGAUUUGGUAAAUUUCAAAGGCAAGACAAAGAGGAUGGCUUAAGGAAACACUGCAGGGACUUGGCGUAAAUUAGACAACUAACGGAAGCGCAGAAUAAAAUAACACCUCAACUGAAGAUUUCCUUGGAAGAAUUAGCACUAGCUAUUGGAAGACAAUGGUGGAUUUAAUCAAAACAGCAGGCAUGCAAGAAUUUUACCCGUGAACCAGAAAAAGGAGCUAAUUAUAACCACCUUUUUAAUGGAGCUAAUUUGACUGAAUGGAUGCAAAUGUGCUUUAUUUAUGGAUGAAGAAGCAAGCCUUACUGCAUGAUCUUGGGAUCAUCGGAUCUGCUAAGCUUUGCAGCUCCUGUUACCUUCAGUACAUUUUUUAUUUCCGGAGAAGGUAUUUGUAUGUAAACAACAACUAACCAUGCAAAAGAUUCAUCGGAACAAUAUACUGUGGUAUAUGAGAUAUAAUCAUAAUUUUGCAGCCUCUCAGGAUUUCCUCUAACUUGGAGGUUUUGCAACCUUUGUGUGCAAUGGGUUAUGGUAAACAAUAAAUGAAUGAUGCUAAAG
Homo sapiens (human) is the source of this 1094-nucleotide long non-coding RNA. The record is from Ensembl. NCBI's taxonomy places the organism in Eukaryota, Metazoa, Chordata, Mammalia, Primates, Hominidae.